Molecule: long non-coding RNA, 807 nt
Organism: Daktulosphaira vitifoliae (grape phylloxera)
Lineage: Eukaryota; Metazoa; Arthropoda; Insecta; Hemiptera; Phylloxeridae
Exons: 4
Source: RefSeq, a predicted model, not a curated record
CUCGAACAUAGACAAGCAAUGUUGGUCAACAAUAUCAAUUGUGAAAAAGUUUAACAAAACAUUUAUUCUCAAAUUAACUCCUUUGGAGAUGGGAAGAGAGGCAAUUGGCCUUAUGGUUUAAUGUACUGAUAGGUAAAGUUAUGAUUUUACAAAUUCUAUCAAUUAAAUGGAUUUAGAAAAAUAAUAAUUUUACUAUGUUAUGUUUAAAAAAUGCUCAGUAAUCGUUUAGUAAUUUGAUGAUAAAUAAGAACAAAUUCUGUUUAUCAAUUUCAGAUUGUGUAAAUAUCACAAAGUAUUAUAUUAGCGUUACGAUUGCAAAUUUUUAACCUCUUACCUUAUUAUUUUUUAGCGUCAAUGUUACCUAGAUUCUAGGUCCUAGAAGACCGUAUUUUAUUUAUGCUAAAGAAACUAAUGUACCCAAGGUAGUCGUCAAUGUAUUAGGUUCUCGAGAUCCAAACAUCAUUCCUCAUAAAGAACCUCAACUUAGAAUUAAAAAUCAUUAUGGAGUCCGGCUUAUUGGUGAUAAUAUUGCUGUCAAGCAAAAAAAAAAAAAUGAAGCAGUUUUUAAAAAGUGAUAUCAUAUUAUGAAAAUACUGUGUAUAUUUGAAACUAAUUAUAAUGUUAUUUUCGACACUCAUUUUAAUACUUCUUGAACUUUUAAAUAUUAAGUACAAUUUUUAUUCUUCUUUAAUUUAAUUAAUAUCUUGUUAAAUUUUUUAUUUAAUUAACUUAAUCAAUUAUUUUCAUGUGGAUUUUUUCCUAUUUGUCUUAUUUUGUUUUGUAACUAUUGCUAUUACUUUAACUAAU